AGGCAGGCAGGUACAAGCUGAAUUAUCUCUGGCAAUGAGCACAGAUGAGUUGUGUCAUUGGGGCAUGCAGGAGGAGGCUGUUCUAGGCCACUGCUGCCUCUGGCUGACCCAUGGUCUGGUGGUUGAUGUCCUGGCAGCCCUCGUGUCGCAUGGGGAGAGCAGUCGAGCGCGUGGUAGGAGGGUGACAGCCAGAAUUCUCGUUGUUACCUAGUGUUGGUUUCUUUUUUUAAUGCUAUACAUUUGAUAUAACUGAAGAUCAAUUUUAAGAGCUUACAGUAAUAUAUUUUAAGUAAUAUAUAUUUUAGUAUCUGUAAAAAAAAUGGACAAAGGAAGAUUUAUGAACUAAAUGCACAGGGUAUUGGGAGUCAGCAGUUUCCCAGCAAGGCCAGGAAUAGUUUUACUAGCAGGAAAACUGACAAGAUUCAUUUUUUUUUUCCACUAAUGCAAUAAAAAUGGGAAUUCUUAAAAAGAAGAACUCCAAUGCUGUUUACCACAUGCGUUUCUUGUUUUGACAACAGGCCUGUAAACGCAGAAGAUACUAAACCUUUGUCUCUCUUUUGCCUUUUUAAAAGGGACUUAAAUUGGAAUAGAGGGUAUGUACAGAAAAAUCAAGUUGACACCAUUUUAAAAUGUAUUUUUACACAAAUAAUAUAGAAAAAAUCAUAUUUUACAUAAGAAUUUUAAGUAUUUGAAAUAUGUAUAUAUAUACUGUAUGUACUUCAUAUAUUCUUUAUUUUACAUUUUCAAUGUAUUAAAAAGUAUUUGAGCUGUUGGAUUUGAGCAUGUAGUAAUGUUUAAAAAACAAAGGAAAAGCAGAAAAGAGGGAGAGAGGAGGGACAUGCUGCCCUGCGCAGCAGCAGCCACGGGGUAGCGCAGGAACCAGGAGUGCCUGAGCAACUGAGUUUUGGAAGAGUUUGGCAGUUCUGGAUCGAGCACACAGACCAGUUUUCAGUCCUGUGUCCUGUUUGCAUUCAUUUUGCCCCAUAACCACCCCAAAUGACCUAUGGGGAGAAGACAAGGUGUUGAGGUGGAUCUUUUACCCAAGCAAUGCUACUGUUCUAGCCAAAGAGGCGUACUGCUACAGAAGCUACUCAACCAAAACAAAAUCAAAGCUAUUCAGUUUUGCUCUGCCACCGAGAUUUUAACAAACAGCUUGAUUUCUGAUGCGAGCAUCUUAUGAUGCUUAUGGGAAAUUCAAGCAAUAUACCAAAAGUCCAACGAUUUCAAGGAAACACUAUCAAAGCAGAUGUAGUUAUUUUCUUAGUUUGUAGGAAUUUGGGUGAGAAUCUCCCUGUAGAGGAUGCAGCAUCUUUGCAGCUAUUAGAAAUGGAGGGGAUUCUCAUCACGAGUGGGAUCCUCGAGCCACUGCCCUUGUGUAGCAAUGCAGAGGGCAGCUGGAGAGCAGGUCAGGCAGACCAGCAGCUCAUGGAGCUGUCAGGAUUGGGCCCAGAUACACAGUGCCACGUAUUGCCAGUGAUGCAGCGGUUUCCCGGCCUCCUGGUACUCUGUUAAACAGCAGAUACCGCUUGUUCUCUACGUACCGUUUCUGACAGAUGAGGAGAGCUGCAGUCCUGUGGUUGCUGGCCCAGUUCUGCAGCUCCAGAGACAAAGAGUACAGAUCCCUGCUGAGGGAAAGGGGGAAGCGGCUCAUCAGCACAGGCAGUGCAGCGCACUUGACUCAUCCCUUUUCCGUAAUGCCUUUUGGCUUAGAUAAAUCUCAAAUUACAUUUACUUCCACUUUCUCCAGCAAACAACUGCAGGAAUCCUGUGUAUAAACUGGAGAUGUUGAUAGCAGUCCUGUAUUGCUGGGACUGACAGGGAAGGAAACUGGAUCUGGGAAAAGAAAAGGUGUUAACCAGUCAAGUUUUAAAAGUACAAAUCUGAAACCUGAAAAGGCAGGCAACUGGGAUUUUUAUACUGCUUCAGUUAUUAUUGGAACCUUUUUAAAAGCAAACCACGGCACCCAGUGCUUUGUCAAAACUUGCUCUGGACACACAGAGGGGCCUUCCACUCUAGAACAGUUGCACUAUAAGAAAGUCCCGCUGUUUAGGGGGUGUAUAUAUGCGGAGUUGGGGGGGGCUGUGCAGGUGUGUCCAUAGUACACACAGCUAUGUUUUAGCUAGGUGUACCUGGUCAGACCAGCUUCAUCUCAGUCUUCUGGUGACAUCAUACCUUGCAAAGUCACCACAGACCUGAGACAGAAUUACAGCUUUUGUAUUUGUUUUCGUAUUUAAGAUAUAUGAGUUAGAAAGAAUAUAUAAUAGCAAUGUGUUUUGAUCUGCUGCACUUUUGAAAAAAAAAACAACAUUCCUUAUUCCCCUGGUACUGCUGCAUCUCCCAUCCCUUCCCCAAUUUAAACCAAUUUAAACUUUAAACAAUUUAAACUUAAACCCAACUGGUCUCCUGUACCUUUCAGUUAAGACCUCUCAGCUGCUGCAUUAUUGGAAAAGCUGGGCCAAGAGUGUCCCUUUGGGAGGACAGGCCUCUGGGAUCCUUGGGGCCAAUUCCAGGGCCAUCACCAGGAAUGCAAACCACCAGGAAAUGAAUACGCCUGGUGAAACACUCCCGCUGCAGUGUGUGCAGUGGAGUGUUUCCCAGGAUUUUAACCCUACCGGUAGCUGAGACAGGACAGGCAUUACCUUGAACCUCAGGGACAGAGGUUUCAGUAACGAUUUUUUCCUCUGAUGUCUAGAGGUGCACCAAGGAUGCACCCACAAACACCCGACUUCGCUGGAUUUACAGCACUUUCUGUUGCCGUAAAUCUCCUGUGCAAUUGUAUCACAGUCCGUUUGUAAAGUCAGGUUUGAGUAAGACAGGUUUGUGUGGAAAAAAGAAAGCAAUCGUAGUUCAGUACGGUAACUUCCAGGCAUUGAAAAUCAGCACGGGCCAGUUCCAGCGAAGGAGCAAUGCAUCAGGGACAAAGAUGGUCUGUCAUGCUGCAGCUAUGCAUUUUGGCAAAGGUUGUUUUGUCAAGGUUUUCACUCAUUUUGCUGUAUGAUUCCACCUUAGCUUCUCACCAGCAUUAAGAGGGAUCUGAAGAGUGCUAGAAACAGCUUCUGUCUAACCUGUCACUUGAAGAUCUGCGUGCCCUUAGGAGGCAGCACUUUGACAAGCAACAGCCUGCCCUGUGGCUUACGUCUUAACUGCGAUUCUGUUCCUCUCACUUCUUUUUGUCAUGUAAAACUACCUGCUUUAUAAAUGAAUGUAAAAUACAGUAGUUCUUCAGCACAUGGACAAACGUGUAUUUUAUCUUAAUGUUUCAUUUUAUGUUAAAUAAAAAGCAUAUGAUU
This 3290-nucleotide long non-coding RNA is filed under the name Strigops habroptila (Kakapo). RNAcentral describes it as "lncRNA (ENSSHBG00005015266.1)". Lineage: Eukaryota; Metazoa; Chordata; Aves; Psittaciformes; Psittacidae. The record is from RNAcentral.